This 1578-nucleotide ribosomal RNA is filed under the name Triticum aestivum (bread wheat). RNAcentral's name for it is "partial small subunit ribosomal RNA". The record is from RNAcentral. Lineage: Eukaryota; Viridiplantae; Streptophyta; Magnoliopsida; Poales; Poaceae.
AUGACAUGGCUUGCAGCGAGAAUUGUGGAGCAUCUCGCUAGCGACCUCAACCUUGCUCACUUUCCAGGAACAUUGGAUUGUAUAUCCUCCCUCCUCCACCACAAAACUCUCCAUUUACCGUUUGUAACUGGGCAAAGGGGUGGUGGUGAAGGAAUUGAUAAGGAUCUGCUUUUGCCGGGCUUGAGAAUUCUAGAGAACCUGGCACACGACACACAUAACUGCACACUGAUAUACAACUCCAGGGGUCUUCUUUCAAAAAUUGUUGCGCCUGUCAGCUCCAACGAAUUUGUAGAAGAUACCAAGAGCAGCACUUCAUGGACCAAGGUAGUUGAGGGAUCACUCAAAGUGGUGAGCCGGCUCAUGGGUUCUUCAGGAAGCACUGGCAUAAAGAUGCGCAGACUAAUUGCGAACAAUAGUAAUGCAGUCAAAAACUUGGAGGCCAUUCUGGAAAUGGAUAUGAAGAGCAACAGUGGUAUCAUAGAGCUACAGAUGCGAGCUCUAGAGGUUCUUACACAACUAGCCUUGUAUCAUCCAACAAGUGCUCCUUCUGUGAUGAGAAGAGAAAAACUUAUUGAGAGGGCGCUACACAUCUUCCUUACUGCAGAUUGGAUGGAAGAUUAUUUGAAAGAUGUAAAAAAGAAGAUUGACAAACCAACUCCAAGCCAAAAAAAUACUUCAGCAAGACCGUCAAUGGGAACAUUUAAUAAGCUCUUUAAAAAGGUCAUCAAAGAGAAGACGGCCAAACAAGUGAGAGAAGAGAAGAUGAAAGAAGCUCAGGGAACUGCAGGCCGGCUUAAAGAAAAGGCUGGUGAAGCAUUGGCCAUGCUGUCCAGUGAUUCAGAGGCUAUCAAGAGCUUCACAGGAUGCGAUGAUGAUAUCAAUCGUCUUACUGAAUUGCUCGACUGCAAUAUCAGGACCAUUAAAUGCAAAAUAAGUACAACGGAUACUGUGGAAAUAGAUAUCAACACAGGCUGUCGUAUUAGCGCAGGAGUCAUCUUGAAGAAUUUGAGCAACUACGUCAAUGUACCAACCUUACGGAAGGUAUUCAAACAAUUGCUUUCAGUAGAACAAGACGAGCCUUUUACUUCAGGAUGCCCCAACGAGCAGUGUGGGGAUAGGAGUCUGCAGGUGGAGCUGUUAUCACUCGUCACAGCGAUUCGUGCAAACACCAAUCUUAAUCUUCGAGAAACCUUACUUUCGCAGACGCCGCGGGAUACCCUGGAAGACUUUGUGGUGAGGCUGAAGAAGAUGGUGGAGGACAACAUGUAUGCCACCCCUGCAUGCCUGGCGAUACAAAAGCUUACUUGUGAGCUGGUUAUAGAAUUCAUCAAGGAUGAUCAAAACGUCGAAAUGAUCGACAGACACAAUAUCGUUGCCACAUUACUGGAGGCUUCAGAGGUGAUGGACUGUCUUGAGAGCGACAUGCUUUUCGCUGGUGUCGAUCAUGACUGCUAUGGGGUUCCUCUGAAGCCUCUUUCUUCUGUUCUUGCUAAAAAUGCCGAAGAUCUUUUGACACAGAGGAGACAGGCUCUGGGUAUCACUAUCAACAUUGGGCCUGCCAGUGCACCAAUACCGUGA